GUGCUGGCUUCAGCAGCACAUGUACUAAAAUUGGAACAGUACAGAGAUUAACAUGGCCCCUGCACAAGGAUGACACACACAUUUGUGAAGUGUUUCAUAUUUUA
Molecule: small nuclear RNA, 104 nt
Organism: Jaculus jaculus (lesser Egyptian jerboa)
Lineage: Eukaryota; Metazoa; Chordata; Mammalia; Rodentia; Dipodidae
Source: RefSeq, a predicted model, not a curated record